GAUGAACGCUGACAGAAUGCUUAACACAUGCAAGUCGAUGGGGAAGUGGUGAUUGCAUUAUGGCAACCAUGGCGGACGGGUGAGUAACGCGUAAGGGCCUUACCUGCAGGAUUGGGAUAACAGGGGGAAACUCCUGACAUGACCGGAUAAUGCCAUGGAGCUGCAUGGCUAAAUGAUGAAAGUGGACGCCUGCCGAGAGCCUUGCGUCCUAUUAGCUAGUUGGUGAGGUAAUGGCUCACCAAGCAGAAGAUAGGUAGCCGGCCUGAGAGGAUAGACGGCCACGAGGGGACUGGGAGACGGCCCUGACUCCUACUGGAGACAGCAGUGAAGAAUAUUGGACAAAGGGCGCAACGCUGAACCAGGAAUUCUGUGUGCACAGAGAAGGUGUUCGGAUUGAAAAGUACUAGCAGCAGGGAAGAAGGAAGUGACGGUACCUGCAGAAGAAGCAACGGCUAAAUACGUG
RNAcentral lists this ribosomal RNA (463 nucleotides) under uncultured bacterium. RNAcentral's name for it is "partial 16S ribosomal RNA". It matches the Rfam family "Bacterial small subunit ribosomal RNA", at positions 28 to 507 of the family's 1533-position model. The record is from RNAcentral.